UACGAAGGGGGCUAGCGUUGCUCGGAAUUACUGGGCGUAAAGGGCGCGUAGGCGGACAUUUUAGUCAGACGUGAAAUCCCUCGGCUUAACCGGGGAACUGCGUCUGAUACUGGAUGGCUUGAAUCCGGGAGAGGGAUGCGGAAUUCCAGGUGUAGCGGUGAAAUGCGUAGAUAUCUGGAGGAACACCGGUGGCGAAGGCGGCAUCCUGGACCGGCAUUGACGCUGAGGAGCGAAAGCCAGGGGAGCAAACGGG
This 253-nucleotide ribosomal RNA is filed under the name uncultured bacterium. RNAcentral describes it as "partial 16S ribosomal RNA". It matches the Rfam family "Bacterial small subunit ribosomal RNA", at positions 524 to 776 of the family's 1533-position model. The record is from RNAcentral.